GUCAUUUGUACCUUCAAGCUCUGCUUGGCGAUGGGUGUUUGUCCCGCUCUACGUGUGGACUCGCCUCAAAUGAAUUGGCAGCCGGCAAUCUGGUGUUGGAGCGCAGCACAUUUUGCGCUCUCCGCCCGGUAUUGCGGCGUCCAUGAAGCUACAUUUUCACGCUUGACCUCGGAUCAGGUAGGGAUACCCGCUGAACUUAA
This 200-nucleotide unclassified non-coding RNA is filed under the name soil metagenome. RNAcentral describes it as "partial contains internal transcribed spacer 2 and large subunit ribosomal RNA". The record is from RNAcentral.